This 433-nucleotide ribosomal RNA is filed under the name uncultured bacterium. Its description in RNAcentral is "partial 16S ribosomal RNA". It matches the Rfam family "Bacterial small subunit ribosomal RNA", at positions 29 to 507 of the family's 1533-position model. The record is from RNAcentral.
AACGAACGCUGGCGGCAUGCCUAACACAUGCAAGUCGAACGAGACCUUCGGGUCUAGUGGCGCACGGGUGCGUAACGCGUGGGAACCUGCCCUUAGGUUCGGCAUAACUCCCCGAAAGGGGUGCUAAUACCGGAUAAUGUCUUCGGAUCAAAGAUUUAUCGCCUUUGGAUGGGCCCGCGUUGGAUUAGCUAGUUGGUAGGGUAAAAGCCUACCAAGGCGACGAUCCAUAGCUGGUCUGAGAGGAUGAUCAGCCACACUGGGACUGAGACACGGCCCAGACUCCUACGGGAAGCAGCAGUGGGGAAUAUUGGACAAUGAGCGAAAGCCUGAUCCAGCAAUGCCGCGUGAGUGAUGAAGGCCUUAGGGUUGUAAAGCUCUUUUACCCGGGAUGAUAAUGACAGUACCGGGAGAAUAAGCUCCGGCUAACUCCGUG